UACGUAGGGUGCAAGCGUUGUCCGGAAUUAUUGGGCGUAAAGAGCUCGUAGGCGGUUUGUUGCGUCGGCUGUGAAAUCCCGAGGCUCAACCUCGGGUCUGCAGUCGAUACGAGCAAACUAGAGUGUUGCAGGGGAGACUGGAAUUCCUGGUGUAGCGGUGAAAUGCGCAGAUAUCAGGAGGAACACCGGUGGCGAAGGCGGAUCUCUGGGCCUUACCUGACGCUGAGGCGCGAAAGCUAGGGGAGCAAACAGG
Molecule: ribosomal RNA, 253 nt
Filed under: uncultured bacterium
Lineage: Bacteria
Description: partial 16S ribosomal RNA
Rfam family: Bacterial small subunit ribosomal RNA
Source: RNAcentral